UCCCAACUGGCUCAGAGGUAGAGAAUCUGCCUACCAAGCAGGAAACAAGGGUUGGAUCCCUGGUUCGGGA
RNAcentral lists this transfer RNA (70 nucleotides) under Ovis aries (sheep). It matches the Rfam family "tRNA". Rfam says of the family: Transfer RNA (tRNA) molecules are approximately 80 nucleotides in length. Their secondary structure includes four short double-helical elements and three loops (D, anti-codon, and T loops). Further hydrogen bonds mediate the characteristic L-shaped molecular structure. tRNAs have two regions of fundamental functional importance: the anti-codon, which is responsible for specific mRNA codon recognition, and the 3' end, to which the tRNAs corresponding amino acid is attached (by aminoacyl-tRNA synthetases). tRNAs cope with the degeneracy of the genetic code in two manners: having more than one tRNA (with a specific anti-codon) for a particular amino acid; and 'wobble' base-pairing, i.e. permitting non-standard base-pairing at the 3rd anti-codon position. The record is from Rfam by way of RNAcentral. Lineage: Eukaryota; Metazoa; Chordata; Mammalia; Artiodactyla; Bovidae.